This 674-nucleotide long non-coding RNA is filed under the name Homo sapiens (human). RNAcentral's name for it is "non-protein coding lnc-NPAP1-9:8". The record is from RNAcentral. Lineage: Eukaryota; Metazoa; Chordata; Mammalia; Primates; Hominidae.
AGCACAUUAGCCACCAUGAUUUUUUUUUUUUUUUGAGAUGGAAUUCGCUGUUUCGCCCAGGCUGGAGUGAAGUGGCGCGAUGUGGGCUCACUGCAACCUCCGCCCCCAGGGUUCAAGGGAUUCUCCUGCCUCAGCCACCAUGAUUUAACACUGAGAAGUAGGCAGUCACAGAGAAAAAGUUUGGAAUAGUUCACCAGUGAAGUCAUCUCAACCAGCACAGGGCCUUGACUCCUAACAACAAUCACACGAACUUGGAAGAGGAUCCUUCCCCAGCUGAAACUUCACUUGAGACCUUCUCAUUGGCCAUCAUCGACAUCUGGAUUCAUGAUACAGAGAAACUUGAGUAAUGAUGACAAUAGCAGUCCAGCCUGCAUGGAUGCUGACAUGGAUGCUGUCUCCCAUUCUUACCACUGGAUGUCAAGAACUGCUAGAUGCGAUCCAGCCAGUCUGUACUCGACUCUCAGUUCCAUCUUCUCAACUCACAGUGUCUUCCAAAGUCCAUGCCACACCACAGCCUGGAAGAUCUCCCAAGGCUUUGAAUAACUCACCAGUGAAGUCAUCUUGACCUGGACAGAAAUUGAAUCCUCCCAAGAAUCCCAGGAGCUUGGAAGGGGAUCCUUCCCCAGAUGAGCCUUCCCUUGAAAUCUCUGCCAGGCAUCUGACCCAGAGAAACU